CACUGUCAGUGAGGCAGAGCUGGAGUAGGAGACAGGGUACUCCCCCAUCUUACUACCCCCUGGCAAAAUCCCCAACAUUCUCUGCCUUCUUAUCUCUCAAGCUCUAACAGUCCUUGUGCUUGGGGAAAGGGCAGUACUAUCCCUGGACAGAUAUGUAUGUACAGACUACUCGGACCUGUCAAAUUGAGGCUGGUAAGACACAAGGGCCCAGAGUGAGGGGCACUGCUAUGAGCAGUCUCUUGGGGGAGGAAGAGUCAGAGCCAUGAUGUUCACUGUUGCCUUUGGAGGUACUGAUAUGCAACUCCUUAAUGCUAAAAUAGAGCCAAGAGAAACCAAGUUGACCAGGUAGCAAAUCUACGACAAGGAUCCGGAUCUUCUAGCCUCCACCCUUAUGCUACUUCUACAAAGGAGAGAAGCUCUUGUCACGGACCCCUACUGACCUCACCACUAAUGGGUCUACAGUAUAUAGAAGGAGUCUUCAGUGUGGGCCUGAGCCCCCUUCUUCAUGUCACAACCUUGACCAUACCUGUUUAGCCAAGACUUCAGCGGCAGCCUCCUAGGUUGUAGCCACCACCUCCCUUUACCCCCCAAUAUUUUCCCAUUAAAAUCUCUCCCGCCCUGGUCA
Long non-coding RNA from Homo sapiens (human), 625 nucleotides. RefSeq lists it as uncharacterized. The record is from RefSeq and is a predicted model, not a curated record. The transcript is spliced from 2 exons. NCBI's taxonomy places the organism in Eukaryota, Metazoa, Chordata, Mammalia, Primates, Hominidae.